This 740-nucleotide ribosomal RNA is filed under the name uncultured bacterium. RNAcentral's name for it is "bacterial SSU rRNA". It matches the Rfam family "Bacterial small subunit ribosomal RNA", at positions 8 to 796 of the family's 1533-position model. The record is from RNAcentral.
AGAGUUUGAUCAUGGCUCAGAACGAACGCUGGCGGCAGGCCUCAAACAUGCAAGUCUAGGGGGUAGCAAUACCACCGGCGGACGGGUGCGUAACACGUGGGAAUAUACCUUUUGGUUCGGAACAACGCAGGGAAACUUGCGCUAAUACCGAAUGUGCCCUUACGGGGAAAGAUUUAUCGCCAAAGGAUUAGCCCGCGUCCGAUUAGCUAGUUGGUGAGGUAAUGGCUCACCAAGGCUCCGAUCGGUAGCUGUUCUGAGAGGAAGAUCAGCCACACUGGGACUGAGACACGGCCCAGACUCCUACGGGAGGCAGCAGUUGGGAAUCUUGGACAAUGGGGGAAACCCUGAUCCAGCCAUGCCGCGUGAGUGAUGAAGGCCUUCGGGUUGUAAAACUCUUUCGACGGGGACGAUAAUGACAGUACCCGUAGAAGAAGCUCCGGCUAACUUCGUGCCAGCAGCCGCGGUAAUACGAAGGGGGCUAGCGUUGUUCGGAAUUACUGGGCGUAAAGCGCGCGCAGGUGGUCUUUCAAGUCAGUGGUGAAAGCCCGGAGCUCAACUCCGGAAAUGCCAUUGAAACUGUGAGACUUGAGGACGAGAGAGGUGAGUGGAAUUCCCAGUGUAGAGGUGAAAUUCGUAGAUAUUGGGAAGAACACCGGUGGCGAAGGCGGCUCACUGGCUCGUAUCUGACGCUCAGGCGCGACAGCGUGGGGAUCAAACAGGAUUAGAUACCCUAGUAGUCC